UAUUGGGCAACUCCAUGUGGGUGAUCUAUAGGCAACAGUUUGUGAGGCUGCUUGCUUUAAUGAGGGAGGAGUGAUCUACAAGCAUGGCUGGAUGCUUUGCUGUGAGCUCUUGCAGAAGGUCCCAGAUCUCCAGUACAAGUGACCUGCAUCCUAAAGCUUUCUUUGGAGCAGUGGCAAACUGAAGGAACUUCCCACACAACCUAAGCAGCUGCCCUGCUGAAACUUGAGAGCAGCACUACAACUUUUUUCAAGGAUGAAUUUCUGAAGAUCAAGAGGAUCUGAGGACAGUAUGGUAAUAACAGUGUGGAGUGAGGUGGCUGGACUGAGGACAUCCUCAGGGAGUCUGGAGAGAGGCAGUCAGAGGGGCAACACCUGGAUCCAAUGAAUCAAUAUCUGAGACCACACCAGUAGAGCUAGUACAAAUAAGCACCAACAUAGAUAAGAGCAGAUUAGCAAAAGUACAAUGAACUGGGAUAGACAGGGUUAACUAAGAAGGCAAAUCUUACUAGAGCUCACAUGGAGAAAGUGUAUCAUUAAUCUCUUUAUAAGUGGGUUAAGUUAGGGGAGUGCUUCCAGGUAAAAUGAAUGUUCUAGGCCAAGGUCAAAGGCAAUGUGCUUCUCCAGACUGUAUAUCCUUAGCGGAACUUUACUUUGUCUAGA
Non-coding RNA from Peromyscus maniculatus bairdii (prairie deer mouse), 660 nucleotides. NCBI's taxonomy places the organism in Eukaryota, Metazoa, Chordata, Mammalia, Rodentia, Cricetidae. The record is from RefSeq and is a predicted model, not a curated record.